This 379-nucleotide unclassified non-coding RNA is filed under the name uncultured Gammaproteobacteria bacterium. RNAcentral describes it as "contains 16S-23S intergenic spacer region". The record is from RNAcentral. Lineage: Bacteria; Pseudomonadati; Pseudomonadota; Gammaproteobacteria.
UCCGGUUUGUCACCGGCAGUCUUCUUAGAGUGCCCACCUUUACGUGCUGGUAACUAAGAACAAGGGUUGCGCUCGUUACGGGACUUAACCCAACAUCUCACGACACGAGCUGACGACAGCCAUGCAGCACCUGUCUCCAGGUUCCUUUCGGCACUCCCACCUUUCAGUGAGAUUCCUAGGAUGUCAAGGGUAGGUAAGGUUCUUCGCGUUGCAUCGAAUUAAACCACAUGCUCCACCGCUUGUGCGGGCCCCCGUCAAUUUCUUUGAGUUUUAAUCUUGCGACCGUACUCCCCAGGCGGAGAACUUAGCGCGUUAGCUACGAUACUAAGUGGCAUAAGCCACCCAACAUCUAGUUCUCAUCGUUUACGGCGUGGACUAC